GGGUUGUUGGCGCAGUGGUAAGUGCGUGGUUAGCAAACGGCAGCCUUACGGGGCAGCUGUAAAGAAUAACCAGAGAGGUUAUAGGUUUAAAUCCCGUACAAUCCA
Molecule: non-coding RNA, 105 nt
Organism: Immersiella caudata
Lineage: Eukaryota; Fungi; Ascomycota; Sordariomycetes; Sordariales; Lasiosphaeriaceae
Source: the annotation of a GenBank genome assembly